AGGCAAUAAAGACAACAAAAGAGGAAGAAAGGAGCUUACCUAAGCGCACAAGCUCUACAGCGGAGUAAAGCUCCGAUCAAAAUGAUAUAUAAAUAGGUGUGUUAGGCCUCAUUUGUUAACAACUGAAUCACACCAAUCUGAACCAUACCUCUUGUUCACACCGUUUGUUAAAUUGACACAGCUGGACGACACAAAAAAAAUUCUGGACGACAGAAAAAAUUUGUCUGGACGACUGAGGCAUAAAAAGGAAGUUGGAUGGUCCAGGGGAUGAUUAUACAGUAUACUUAUACUAAUGUUUUUUUUUUGAGUAGAAUACUGAUGCUUUUUACUACCCCUUCGAGAGUUCUAUAUUAAAAACUAUCAACUACCCAUUCUUAUUUUUUUAUUAAUUAAAAAUAAAAAUUAAGAGGUACGUAUAACAAAUUAAUUUAAAAACAAGGAGACUAGUUAAAAUGUUUAAUUAAAUGAAAAAGUAAAAGUUUAUUAACAUUCUAAUAAAUUUUAAUAUGUUAGUCGUAUUUACAGUGUAAUAUACUAUUAAAAAAAUCAUACCGCUAAUCAAAUUUUAAAAAUCGAUUUGGUCAAAUAUUUUUUAAGAAUUAAUCAAAGAUAUAUUUCGAAAUAUAUUUUGUUGUGUGAAAAAAAAUAAUAUUCAUAUGUAUCUUUUUUUUCCAUACCAUUAUUUAUUACCUAAAAUUAGGUUUAAAAAUUAAAAACAAUUAUUAUAUUAGAAUAUAGGAAUAAACAUACAAGAUAUUAUUAUAUAUAUUCAUUUUAAAUGAAUUCAUGAAUAGUGUAUCAUUAUAAUAUAAAUGUAAAAUAAACAAGCAUUUCAUUCAGAAACUAAAAAAUUUAGUUAUCAAAUGAUAACAUUCAUCCAGCAUCCAGAUUAUCAAUCAUCCAGAAAAUUAACUGUUCAGAAUUUACCGUUCAGAUUUAACAAAUGACCCCUUAGUAUAUGAAAGGAGGAAAAUAAAAGGGAGAAAAAAUGGUCGGAGGAUAGACAAGGAAGAAAAGAAAACAAUAAAGCAGGUUCAGACAGAUAUAUAGAGGGGACAUGAACUGGAGCAAGGCUGCUAGAAAAAGAGGC
This 1090-nucleotide long non-coding RNA is filed under the name Daucus carota (carrot). RNAcentral's name for it is "long non-coding RNA (DCAR_LNC001442)". The record is from RNAcentral. Lineage: Eukaryota; Viridiplantae; Streptophyta; Magnoliopsida; Apiales; Apiaceae.